AUUUUAUCAUUAGAAUUAUAAAUUUGUAGUUUAGAUUCAAACCUAAUUAUUUUUCUUUCUCUUUCUUUUUUUAGGCUAUCUCCUAAGGAACAUGAGCAGGCUCAACAGCUACAACACCAGACCUAUCUGUUCAGAUAAAGCUGGUCUUAGGGAGGAGCCUGGGCACCAAACCAGAAGAAUCAAUUACUUACCCAAGUCUACUCACUGUGACUAUUUAUUUAUCACAUCUGCACAUCUACCUGCUCCACCCAUGAAGCUCCUAUGGCAGGAUCUGAGCCUUAAUCAUUAAACCUCAAAUAUUAACCAGUCCACUAAGUUCACCUUUCAUCAUGGAAUCUCCAGCGAUGUAAAGCUGUCAGAAAUGUCAUAAGCACUUCUGUGUCAGGCUGCGCCACCCCCCAAAGGGGCAUGUCAAUGGUGGGCUGAGGGCAUGACCCAAGGGACAAGAGUGGGUGUGGUGGAGCCAAGCUCCACUAUUGGCUAGUCACUGUUUUUUUGAAGCUUAUCCCAGCACUAGAGGAUAUGUCUUAACUGUGUUUAGUAAAGUGUCAUGUAUAAAUAUGGUGCUGAAUAAAUGUUUUAAGAUGAUCCUAUAGCUCA
RNAcentral lists this long non-coding RNA (600 nucleotides) under Chrysemys picta bellii (western painted turtle). Its description in RNAcentral is "lncRNA (ENSCPBG00000022377.1)". Lineage: Eukaryota; Metazoa; Chordata; Testudines; Emydidae. The record is from RNAcentral.